This 595-nucleotide long non-coding RNA is filed under the name Homo sapiens (human). RNAcentral describes it as "non-protein coding lnc-HOXB8-1:3". Lineage: Eukaryota; Metazoa; Chordata; Mammalia; Primates; Hominidae. The record is from RNAcentral.
CCCCCAGCGCCGUCGGCGUCGCUGCCCCAGACACAGACACUGCCUCGAGAGGCCUCACAGAGGCGGGGGCAGAAGGCGGCGACCCAGAGCCGCCACAUCCCCCGCCUUGGGCGCCGUCACAGUCCCCAGACGCCCUGGACUCCUGCAGUCUACGAAGACGCGCGGGGGACGGCGUGGUUCCGAGAGAGGGCGCCAAAGGCGACGUGCCGGCCGCCAGCUCCAGGCCGAGCCCCGAGCGCCUGCAGGAACACGCCCCUUCACCCGGCGCGGGACGCAGAGCUGCGAGAGAAUCUUGUUCAGCGCGGACUCAACGCCAGGGCGCCGCCUAGAGGACAGGAGGGGAUGUAAACCGUUUGAAGUUCAUCAACACGGUGAAGUUUUAUUGUAUUUCCGGUCCCCAAGAUUUAUACCCGGGAGGGGGAGCGGGCGGCCAGGUGGACUCCCUCGCUACCUCGGACUUCCCUGCCGGACACGUGGCCACUCGGACCCUCGCUUCUGGGCGAGGGCGGGAGGGAGCCUGGACUGGGCCGCGGCCGCUGGCUCCGCACCUUCCGACGGCCGCGCACUGCCGGCACCGCCGCCGCCCAGGUAAGUC